GCCAGGCAUGGUGGCGCAUGCCUGUAAUCCCAGCUACUUGGGAGGCUGAGACUGGAGAAUCACUUGAACCUGGGAGACGGAGGUUGCAGUGAGCCGAGAUCACGCCACUGCACUCCAGCCUGGGUGACAGAGUAAGACUCUGUCUCAA
Molecule: non-coding RNA, 148 nt
Filed under: Gorilla gorilla gorilla (western lowland gorilla)
Lineage: Eukaryota; Metazoa; Chordata; Mammalia; Primates; Hominidae
Source: Rfam by way of RNAcentral